GAUGAACGCUGGCGGCGUGCCUAACACAUGCAAGUCGAGCGAACAGACGAGGAGCUUGCUCCUUUGACGUUAGCGGCGGACGGGUGAGUAACACGUAGGUAACCUACCUAUAAGACUGGGAUAACUUCGGGAAACCGGAGCUAAUACCGGAUAAUAUUUCGAACCGCAUGGUUCGAUAGUGAAAGAUGGCUUUGCUAUCACUUAUAGAUGGACCUGCGCCGUAUUAGCUAGUUGGUAAGGUAACGGCUUACCAAGGCAACGAUACGUAGCCGACCUGAGAGGGUGAUCGGCCACACUGGAACUGAGACACGGUCCAGACUCCUACGGGAGGCAGCAGUAGGGAAUCUUCCGCAAUGGGCGAAAGCCUGACGGAGCAACGCCGCGUGAGUGAUGAAGGUCUUCGGAUCGUAAAACUCUGUUAUUAGGGAAGAACAAACGUGUAAGUAACUGUGCACGUCUUGACGGUACCUAAUCAGAAAGCCACGGCUAACUACGUG
Molecule: ribosomal RNA, 497 nt
Filed under: uncultured bacterium
Lineage: Bacteria
Description: partial 16S ribosomal RNA
Rfam family: Bacterial small subunit ribosomal RNA
Source: RNAcentral